This 1447-nucleotide ribosomal RNA is filed under the name uncultured organism. RNAcentral describes it as "SSU rRNA". It matches the Rfam family "Bacterial small subunit ribosomal RNA". The record is from RNAcentral.
GCUACAGGCUUAACACAUGCAAGUCGAGGGGCAGCAUGGUCUUAGCUUGCUAAGGCCGAUGGCGACCGGCGCACGGGUGAGUAACACGUAUCCAACCUGCCGUCUACUCUUGGACAGCCUUCUGAAAGGAAGAUUAAUACAAGAUGGCAUCAUGAGUCCGCAUGUUCACAUGAUUAAAGGUAUUCCGGUAGACGAUGGGGAUGCGUUCCAUUAGAUAGUAGGCGGGGUAACGGCCCACCUAGUCUUCGAUGGAUAGGGGUUCUGAGAGGAAGGUCCCCCACAUUGGAACUGAGACACGGUCCAAACUCCUACGGGAGGCAGCAGUGAGGAAUAUUGGUCAAUGGGCGCAGGCCUGAACCAGCCAAGUAGCGUGAAGGAUGACUGCCCUAUGGGUUGUAAACUUCUUUUAUAAAGGAAUAAAGUCGGGUAUGGAUACCCGUUUGCAUGUACUUUAUGAAUAAGGAUCGGCUAACUCCGUGCCAGCAGCCGCGGUAAUACGGAGGAUCCGAGCGUUAUCCGGAUUUAUUGGGUUUAAAGGGAGCGUAGAUGGAUGUUUAAGUCAGUUGUGAAAGUUUGCGGCUCAACCGUAAAAUUGCAGUUGAUACUGGAUAUCUUGAGUGCAGUUGAGGCAGGCGGAAUUCGUGGUGUAGCGGUGAAAUGCUUAGAUAUCACGAAGAACUCCGAUUGCGAAGGCAGCCUGCUAAGCUGCAACUGACAUUGAGGCUCGAAAGUGUGGGUAUCAAACAGGAUUAGAUACCCUGGUAGUCCACACGGUAAACGAUGAAUACUCGCUGUUUGCGAUAUACGGCAAGCGGCCAAGCGAAAGCGUUAAGUAUUCCACCUGGGGAGUACGCCGGCAACGGUGAAACCCAAAGGAAUUGACGGGGGCCCGCACAAGCGGAGGAACAUGUGGUUUAAUUCGAUGAUACGCGAGGAACCUUACCCGGGCUUAAAUUGCAGAUGAAUUACGGUGAAAGCCGUAAGCCGCAAGGCAUCUGUGAAGGUGCUGCAUGGUUGUCGUCAGCUCGUGCCGUGAGGUGUCGGCUUAAGUGCCAUAACGAGCGCAACCCUUGUUGUCAGUUACUAACAGGUUCCGCUGAGGACUCUGACAAGACUGCCAUCGUAAGAUGUGAGGAAGGUGGGGAUGACGUCAAAUCAGCACGGCCCUUACGUCCGGGGCUACACACGUGUUACAAUGGGGGGUACAGAGGGCCGCUACCACGCGAGUGGAUGCCAAUCCCAAAAACCUCUCUCAGUUCGGACUGGAGUCUGCAACCCGACUCCACGAAGCUGGAUUCGCUAGUAAUCGCGCAUCAGCCACGGCGCGGUGAAUACGUUCCCGGGCCUUGUACACACCGCCCGUCAAGCCAUGGGAGCCGGGGGUACCUGAAGUGCGUAACCGCGAGGAGCGCCCUAGGGUAAAACUGGUGACUGGGGCUAAGUCAUA